This is a long non-coding RNA of Lates calcarifer (barramundi perch), 1718 nucleotides long. RefSeq lists it as uncharacterized. The record is from RefSeq and is a predicted model, not a curated record. The transcript is spliced from 5 exons. Lineage: Eukaryota; Metazoa; Chordata; Actinopteri; Centropomidae.
UGUAGAGAAGAUCAGGGAUGGGGUGGCUGUGGUGAUGAAGCUGGACCUGCAGUACAUCCACCUGAAGUUUCCGGGGAUACUGAUCAUCUUCUCCUCCACCGCCGCCUGCAGGCGCCAAUGAAGGACUGUAAAAAAAAAAAAAAAAAACACUAUCAGGGGCAAUAAAGUUGCUGUAACUAACUACAGUAUACAUAAGUGUAAGAGGAGCAUGCGAAUUCCAUGUGGCUCAUGUCCAGUUUGUCAAAAAACGUUUCCAAGUAAAGAGGUUUCACCUGCAGAUUUCCUACACUGAUGACGCGUCUCCUGGGCGGGGCACAGAGGGGCGGAGAGAGGAAGCCGGAAGACAAACUUAAACCAAGUCUGACCGUUUGCUUCUGUUUGCCAGUACUGCGAGAAAGCGUCGUUACCGGAGAGGCCUGGAUGCUAAAACAAACUCUGGAGCUGUUUUUUUGGUCGAACAUGAGUGAGACUGGACGCUGAACACACUCAAGGCGCGAAGGUGUCGUGCUUUACUGGUUCAGCUGCUGCAGCCUGGACAGAAACACCAGCUCUCACCUCACAAACCAAACAGGUGUCACCACUUCGUCCAUCAUCACAGAGAGUCUUCGUACACUAAAGAAGUUCUUUGAGACCAGGACAGAGGUAAUGCAGGAUUCAAACUUCAACCAUUAAAUCACAGAGAGAAGAGACAGACAUGAAGACAUUUCAAGGUCUUCAGCUGCUGUUUUCUCCUCCUGCAGAGACAAGAAUACGUGUUAAUCACAGGAACUGAUCAGUAAAGCUAUUAUUCCUAUUAUCCCUAAAAUGACCUUAUUCAUUGUUGACACCUAUUUACAGUGACUUAAACUAAACUUUUUACAAUUCAUUCAGUAUCAUGUUAGGAUGUUUUUCAAAUUAUCACAGUCACAUUAAUAACUGGAAAUAGUUCUCAAACACUUGAUUCAAUUUUAUUUGUAUAGCGCCAAAUCACAACAAAAGUAAUCUCAAGGCACUUUUCAUAAAGAGCAGGUCUAGACCAUAGUCUUUUUAAAAUAUGGGAUUUAUAGAGACAGACCCAACAAAUCCCACCCUGAGUAAGAACCUAUUGUAAUUACUUCAUAGUUAUCUCUCAAAUUUCACAGAGAUAGAUAAACAUGAAAAUAAUUUGAACUGUACUGUUGCUUAAAUUAUUGUUAUUUAGUGAUUAAUUAUUUCUCAAGGUUAAUAAGGUUUUUUGUUAAAACAACUUUUACUUAAUAAACUGCUGUUUUUUUUUUUUUUACAACCUAUGCUAUUGCAUUUUCUUGUGACAUCUUUUAAUGACAGAAUACAGUGACAUUUUCACCGCACUUUAUAUUAUACUUUUUUAAAAUGUUAUUUUAAUAAUCUUAUGCCUUAGAAUACUAUAACUCUUUUAUGCCUUAUUAUAUUAUGACAUUCAACUGAAGACAAAGGAACUUUGUUUUCCAUAAACGCACACAUAUUUAACACACUCACACCUCUACACAGUGUUUGUGGGUUUAGUUAAAUUUUGUUUGUCAUUUCACCAAGAGUGCAAUAUCAGUAUUCAAAUCCAAUCUAUUACUGUGUACAUAGUCCUGUUCUUACUAUUCAUAUUGUUAUAUAUUAUGAUGUUUUAUAUCUUGUCUUGUAUAUACGACACCCUUUACUGCUAAUGCAACACUGAAUUUCCCUGCUGUGGGACUGACUUACUCAAAUAAAUACUUCUGAACACUGAA